AAGAAUGGAAGAAAAUCCCCAAAACCAGAUGUGCAAAGCUGAUAGACACCAUUGAUGACCCAAAGCUGUAAUCGCUACUAAAGGUGCGUCUUCAAAGUAUUGACUCUGGUGUGAAUAAUUUUCUACAUAUUUGGAAAAAUGUCUAAACAUGUUCUAACUUUGUCAUUAUGAGUUAUUGUGUGUAGAAGGGUAAACAUUUUUUUUAAUCCAUUUUGAAUUCCGGCUGUAACAUAAUAUGUGGAGUAAGACUUUAUGAAGGCACUGUAUUCAAGAUUCAUAUGUCAGUGGCCAUUGAAUGAACAGCAGGAAAUCUUAUAGACUUCUUUUCGUUUCAUUGAGCAGCGCCAUCUUUACCAUAUUCUUCUCUUUCAGCAAUUUGAGUCAUUGCGAGUUUGAGGAUAUAAUCCUGCAUUUGAACGACAGGAUUUCAUCCAUCAGACAGGUCUUGUAGCUGCGGACAAUUGGUAUGAUGAUCUGGUACAUACGGGGCAUGUCUCUUGUCGAAGGGAUAGCUGAAACACUAACUACAUAAUAUAAAAGUUAACUGAGAAGAGAGCUCACCUCAUCAAACAAACUCAGUGGUUUUCUGACAGCAUCAGGUCAUUCAUCACCUUCUUGAAACAUAACUUAAAAUUUGAGGCUUAUUUUCAGCAAAUUAUCAUGACAAGCGGAUCAUUCUAGGGAAGAUGGGACAAAUGUCCUUUCAAUAGAUGGACUCCUUGAUCAGUUUGAAUAAUGUGUUGGCUGCCAAAAAGACCUACUGAAGGUAUUGCGUACAUGCUUCACAUGCUAUUUUUACAGGUCCUUUUUAGCUUGUCUGGAUUGCUUUAUCUUAAAGUAUGCUGUUUGUCCUUUAUGUCAGUGUGAAAUCUGAGUUGUAAUUGUAACCCUGGACUGAUGGGGAUUGACUUAUUUUUGUCACAGGAACUAGAGGAGUGCUUCCUGAAGGAGGUACAGGAUGGAACGCAGCUUAGGGUCAACAUGCCAAGGAACGUUGUACGAUGUUGAAACAGGAGAAGCUACAGAGUACCAACCAAAUGCAUUGUAAAUGUUUUGUCCUAUUUAAAAUAAUAAUAAAAUCUCCUUUGAUACCCCAGUGGAAGAGGGCCUGUGAGACCGAGUGGACCUGUGCAUGUGCAGCCAACCCAGCAGGAGCACCUCAGGAAAACCUCCAAGACCCAGAUCAAAGAGAUUGAAUUCAUCAACUACCCAGAGUUUAAGACCAUCCCUCAGCUGUGUGACAUAUGACCAGCUGAAUGCUUCUGUGGCAAGCGUUAACACAGCCGUAACAGGGAAGUAAAAAGUCUUGCACCUGCCAGUAAAAACCCUGAAUAAUGCCACACACAAGCUUCAUCAGCGAUUUAAGGAGGAUGACACAAAAGGUCUAUUUUUCAUUGAGGAGGUGGACAUUAAAGAGUUCACUUGGAUGACAGUUGACAAGCGCUUCCAGGGCAUCCUCAACAUGCUACGUCACGGCCAGCGUCUGCGAGAGCAGCGCGGGGGUUUCACAUGCUACGUCCUGCAGUGAAAAGAGCUGAAAUGGAGUUUGUCAUUGAGCUUGCCUUGAAGAUGUUGAUUUGUCCUCUGUCCUCAACAUACAGUCAGGUCCAUCAUUAUUGGCACCCUUGAUAAAGGGUGUUGUAUGUGUCGAACUGCUAUGCUUUAUCUUGACCUGGUCGCAGUUGUAAAUGAGAACUUGUUCUCAACUAGCCUACCUGGUUAAAUAAAGGUGAACAUAAAAAAAAAAGAUGUGCAAAAAAGACGUACUGGGCUAUAAUUUCUCAAAGAAAGACAUUUUGUUUAAAGGGGAAUUGUAGUUAAUGUGAUUUUCCUGUUUUUUUUUUAUAUUUCAACACCAAGUGGAAAUAAGACCUGGUUGCCUCGGUCAGGUGGCUGACACUUGGCCGCAAGUGGUUCUUCCAGUAAAACCAUAACCCCAAGCGUUAAUCAAUAUCCACAAGGAAAUUGUUAAUUGACCACAAAAUCAUUAUUUUGCAAUGGCCAUCUCAAUGUUCAGACUUGA
Oncorhynchus tshawytscha (Chinook salmon) is the source of this 2023-nucleotide long non-coding RNA. RefSeq lists it as uncharacterized. The transcript is spliced from 3 exons. The record is from RefSeq and is a predicted model, not a curated record. Lineage: Eukaryota; Metazoa; Chordata; Actinopteri; Salmoniformes; Salmonidae.